AGGAUGAACGCUGGCGGCGUGCCUAACACAUGCAAGUCGAACGUCCUGUCUCGCAAGAGGCAGGGAGUGGCGGACGGGUGAGUACCACGUGGGUCAUCUACCGUGAGGUGAGGAAUACCGGCGAGAAAUCGCCGACAAGACCGCAUAGGCUCGAUGCAAGUCGAGCAAAGCUCUUUCGAGAGAGGGAGCGCCACACGAGGAGCCUGCGCCCGAUUAGCUAGCUGGUGGAGUAACGGUUCACCAGGGCGACGAUCGGUAGCUGGUCUGAGAGGACGAUCAGCCACACUGGGAUUGAGAACGGCCCAGACUCCUACGGGGGGCAGCAGUGAGGAAUUUUCGUCAAUGGGGGCAACCCUGAACGAGCAACGCCGCGUGCAGGAAGAGGUUUCGGAUCGUAAACUGCUUUUCUCGGGGAAGAGAACGGACGGUACCCGAGGAAUCAGCCCCGGCUAACUACGUGCCAGCAGCCGCGGU
RNAcentral lists this ribosomal RNA (474 nucleotides) under uncultured bacterium. RNAcentral's name for it is "SSU rRNA". It matches the Rfam family "Bacterial small subunit ribosomal RNA", at positions 26 to 521 of the family's 1533-position model. The record is from RNAcentral.